CCUACGGGGGGCUGCAGUGGGGAAUAUUGCACAAUGGGCGCAAGCCUGAUGCAGCCAUGCCGCGUGUGUGAAGAAGGCCUUCGGGUUGUAAAGCACUUUCAGCGAGGAGGAAGGCCAGUGACUUAAUAAGUGACUGGAUUGACGUUACUCGCAGAAGAAGCACCGGCUAACUCCGUGCCAGCAGCCGCGGUAAUACGGAGGGUGCAAGCGUUAAUCGGAAUUACUGGGCGUAAAGCGCACGCAGGCGGUUUGUUAAGUCAGAUGUGAAAUCCCCGAGCUUAACUUGGGAACUGCAUUUGAAACUGGCAAGCUAGAGUCUUGUAGAGGGGGGUAGAAUUCCAGGUGUAGCGGUGAAAUGCGUAGAGAUCUGGAGGAAUACCGGUGGCGAAGGCGGCCCCCUGGACAAAGACUGACGCUCAGGUGCGAAAGCG
Molecule: ribosomal RNA, 431 nt
Filed under: uncultured bacterium
Lineage: Bacteria
Description: bacterial SSU rRNA
Rfam family: Bacterial small subunit ribosomal RNA
Source: RNAcentral